This 980-nucleotide long non-coding RNA is filed under the name Prunus persica (peach). RNAcentral's name for it is "long non-coding RNA (PPER_LNC006739)". The record is from RNAcentral. Lineage: Eukaryota; Viridiplantae; Streptophyta; Magnoliopsida; Rosales; Rosaceae.
AAGGCACCCGGGCACCAGUUGACCCACAUGAGGGACCUUCAAGAGGUCCAGCGAGCACGGACCACCAGUGAGUUGACUCUUUGUUUUUAUAAAUAAAUUUAAGCAGUUCAGUUACAGUAUUUGAUCUUGAAUAAGUUUUAUUCAAGGAUUAGUGUUUUAUAAGCUGUUAUAUGCUUUUAAAUAUUUUGUUUUGCAUGUUGCCGAGUGAAAUUUCUUUUAAAGGAUAUAGGAAAAGAAAUUCUAGUGAAUUAUCCGAUUAUCAGAUAAAUGAUAGCAGAAUUUUAGAGUUUACAGAAAUUCAGUUAUUCAACAGAGUUUCUUCAGAAACUUUAUAUUUUCCUAAACCACCUUAGGUACCCAGAUAUACAACUGUUGCCUUCGGAUUUUAUUGGUUGCCUUUAGUUUAGUCAGCAUGCUUGACAGUUGCCCCAUGAGUUCUUUAGUACUCGAACUCGUGUGGAGCGAGUAGUGCGGAUCAGGCUGAAUACGGUCCCCUGAAUCCUGCUAGUUGCGGCUCGGGACUGACCUUGUGUCACUGAGACCUGCGAGUACGUGCCACCUUUGGUGAUGCGAGAAAUUGACGGAUAUUAGGAAUUGAUGGAAAUAAGGGAUACACCUAUGUGGUAGUUUUAAACUGUUUUCAAUGCCUUAAGAAAUUAAUGUUGACCAUGAGUAUGAUUGGCAUAUAUAUGUAUAAUUAUAUGAGUGCAUUGAUUUCAGUACGAAUAAAAUAAAGAGAAUAAUUUAGUUGUAUAACUGUUUUUACAGUGGGGUUAGUAUGUUCUUAUGUAUUUUCUAAACUUGUUUUUAGGUCCACUCACCCUUUCAAUGUUUUGCGUCCCCAAGCAGGAGGCGUGCACAGUGAUCCACCACCAGGCUGUUUUCCACCUUCCGUGAUUUCCUUUCUAAUGUAGGACUUUUUGUUUUGUAAAAGGAUUGACUUCUUUGUAAAUUCUUAGUAGUCGCUCUGAUAAUUUGCC